This 404-nucleotide ribosomal RNA is filed under the name uncultured bacterium. Its description in RNAcentral is "partial 16S ribosomal RNA". It matches the Rfam family "Bacterial small subunit ribosomal RNA", at positions 30 to 526 of the family's 1533-position model. The record is from RNAcentral.
AUUGAACGCUGGCGGCAGGCCUAACACAUGCAAGUCGAGCGAGCGGCGGACGGGUGAGUAAUGCCUGGGAAUUGCCAAGUCGAGGGGGAUAACAGUUGGAAACGACUGCUAAUACCGCAUACGAUUGGCUUGCCCAGGUGGGAUUAGCUAGUUGGUGAGGUAAUGGAGCACCAAGGCGACGAUCCCUAGCUGGUCUGAGAGGAUGAUCAGUCACACUGGAACUGAGACACUGGCCAGACUCCUACGGUAGGCAGCAGUGGGGAAUAUUGUAUAAUGGGGGAAACACUGAUGACGCCAUGCCGCGGGUGUGAAGAAGGCCUUCUGGUUGUAAAGCACUUUCAGCUAGGAGGCGUUACUCGCAGAAGAAGCACCGGCUAACGCCGGGCCAGCAGCCGCGGUAAUAC